ACUUUUAUCAGAUUUCAAAGAUUAUUUUUCAGGAUUGUUAAGACUUUGUAGUGAUCUUAUGAAAUGAAUUUUCUGUUUUGGGAAGGUAUGUGCUAGAUUCUGCAGCUUUAGCAUUAGCAUUAGCAUUGCAAAAAGACAACUAUUUUACAAGAGACUUCAGCUUAAACAGUGUGAAACUGUACACCAAAGCCCUUAUAUUUAAAGGUAAAUGAAACUUGUAUAUAUCUCCACACUGGGUUGGACAAGUGUAGACUAUAUAUGUGUGUGUUAAACCUGAAUCACCUUACUGAGUAGAAAACCAUCUGGGAGAAGCUGCUGUUGUCUCUUUGUAGGUCCAGGUCGAGGCUAACAGUCGACUUUACUGGAUAUUUUAUUGUCAAGACGUUGCUGACAGGUCUGCAGAGAUCAGAUGGAGACACAGCAGUGCAGCUAAACCAAACAUUUCCUAGCGAAGGAUUUCCACCAGGGAAUUCAGGCCCCGCGGCAGCUGCAGAAACUAGAGCCCUGUACCUGUGGAUGUACUGGAGACCAGUCCAAGAGAAACGGGUUCGGGCUCUUCAGACAGGGGCCCUACAAAGAGGCCCAUCACUGGAGGAGGGGUGGAGCGUGCCAGCGAGAGGGCCGUGGUAGCCGUGGGGACGGCAGAAAUGACAGCUGCAGGUGUCGACAUGGGCCGGGGGGGGAGCAGAGGGCCCAACAGCAACUGUUAGCCUAAUGCCAGGAGGAUAAAUAAUAAAACAACUGUUAGAUAAGAACUCCCAUUCAAGAAAAAAAAGAGAAAGAGGAGGGAGACUUAAAUGCAUAACUUGUGGCAGAGCUCUAAAUCUACAAACUUUGGCACGGGAGAUUAUGUCCAGGGCUUUAAUUAAACAGAUGCUGCGAUGAAUAUUUCAACUUUUGAGAAACAGGA
Long non-coding RNA from Cyprinus carpio carpio, 910 nucleotides. The record is from Ensembl. NCBI's taxonomy places the organism in Eukaryota, Metazoa, Chordata, Actinopteri, Cypriniformes, Cyprinidae.